RNAcentral lists this ribosomal RNA (373 nucleotides) under uncultured organism. RNAcentral describes it as "bacterial SSU rRNA". It matches the Rfam family "Bacterial small subunit ribosomal RNA", at positions 526 to 897 of the family's 1533-position model. The record is from RNAcentral.
CAGAGGUCCCGAGCGUUGUUCGGAUUCACUGGGCGUAAAGGGUGCGUAGGUGGCGAGGUAAGUCGGAUGUGAAAUCUCCAAGCUUAACUUGGAAAUGGCAUUGGAAACUACCUUGCUCGAGGUUUGGAGGGGGGACUGGAAUUCUCGGUGUAGCAGUGAAAUGCGUAGAUAUCGAGAGGAACACCAGUGGCGAAGGCGAGUCCCUGGACAACACCUGACACUGAGGCACGAAAGCUAGGGGAGCAAACAGGAUUAGAUACCCUGGUAGUCCUAGCUGUAAACGGUGCUUGCUUGCUGUAAAAGGAAUCGACCCCUUUUGUGGCGAAGCCAACGCGUUAAGCAAGCCGCCUGGGAAGUACGGUCGCAAGAUUAA